UACGUAGGGGGCAAGCGUUGUCCGGAUUUAUUGGGCGUAAAGAGCGUGUAGGCGGCCUGGUAGGUCAGCUGUGAAAACUCGAGGCUCAACCUCGAGACGCCGGUUGAAACCAUCUGGCUAGAGUCCGGGAGAGGAGAGUGGAAUUCCUGGUGUAGCGGUGAAAUGCGCAGAUAUCAGGAAGAACACCCGUGGCGAAAGCGGCUCUCUGGAACGGUACUGACGCUGAGACGCGAAAGCGUGGGGAGCGAACAGG
This 253-nucleotide ribosomal RNA is filed under the name uncultured bacterium. Its description in RNAcentral is "partial 16S ribosomal RNA". It matches the Rfam family "Bacterial small subunit ribosomal RNA", at positions 524 to 776 of the family's 1533-position model. The record is from RNAcentral.